RNAcentral lists this ribosomal RNA (496 nucleotides) under uncultured bacterium. Its description in RNAcentral is "partial 16S ribosomal RNA". It matches the Rfam family "Bacterial small subunit ribosomal RNA", at positions 29 to 507 of the family's 1533-position model. The record is from RNAcentral.
AUGAACGCUGGCGGCGUGCCUAAUACAUGCAAGUCGCGCGAACAGACGAGGAGCUUGCUCCUCUGACGUUAGCGGCGGACGGGUGAGUAACACGUGGAUAACCUACCUAUAAGACUGGGAUAACUUCGGGAAACCGGAGCUAAUACCGGAUAAUAUAUUGAACCGCAUGGUUCAAUAGUGAAAGACGGUUUUGCUGUCACUUAUAGAUGGAUCCGCGCCGCAUUAGCUAGUUGGUAAGGUAACGGCUUACCAAGGCAACGAUGCGUAGCCGACCUGAGAGGGUGAACGGCCACACUGGAACUGAGACACGGUCCAGACUCCUACGGGAGGCAGCAGUAGGGAAUCUUCCGCAAUGGGCGAAAGCCUGACGGAGCAACGCCGCGUGAGUGAUGAAGGUCUUCGGAUCGUAAAACUCUGUUAUUAGGGAAGAACAAAUGUGUAAGUAACUAUGCACGUCUUGACGGUACCUAAUCAGAAAGCCACGGCUAACUACGUG